UGGGGAAUAUUGCACAAUGGGCGAAAGCCUGAUGCAGCGACGCCGCGUGCGGGAUGAAGGCCUUCGGGUUGUAAACCGCUUUUAAUUGGGAGCAAGCGAGAGUGAGUGUACCUUUUGAAUAAGCACCGGCUAACUACGUGCCAGCAGCCGCGGUAGUACGUAGGGUGCAAGCGUUAUCCGGAAUUAUUGGGCGUAAAGAGCUCGUAGGCGGUUUGUCACGCCUGGUGUGAAAGUCCAUCGCUUAACGGUGGAUCUGCGCCGGGUACGGGCAGGCUAGAGUGCAGUAGGGGAGAUUGGAAUUCCCGGUGUAACGGUGGAAUGUGUAGAUAUCGGGAAGAACACCAAUGGCGAAGGCAGAUCUCUGGGCUGUUACUGACGCUGAGGAGCGAAAGCAUGGGGAGCGAACAGGAUUAGAUACCCUGGUAGUCCAUGCCGUAAAACGGUGGAUGCUGGAUGUGGGACCCUUCCACGGGUUCCGUGUCGGAGCUAACGCGUUAAGCAUCCCGCCU
Molecule: ribosomal RNA, 509 nt
Filed under: uncultured bacterium
Lineage: Bacteria
Description: partial 16S ribosomal RNA
Rfam family: Bacterial small subunit ribosomal RNA
Source: RNAcentral